This 90-nucleotide unclassified non-coding RNA is filed under the name Pseudomonas sp. A214. The record is from RNAcentral. Lineage: Bacteria; Pseudomonadati; Pseudomonadota; Gammaproteobacteria; Pseudomonadales; Pseudomonadaceae.
UGUGGGAGCGAGCCUGCUCGCGAUUGCGUCGGUUCAGCCAGUACAGAGGUUGACUGACCCAUGGCAAUCGCGAGCAGGCUCGCUCCCACA